GGGUCAGUAGGUUGGUCGUGCCACCGGUACGUACUGGUCUCACUGAUUCCUCCUUCCUGAAGAACCGUAAUGCCAUUAAUUUGGUGUUGCGGGGAAACAGGACUGUUACUUUGAAAAAAUUAGAGUGUUUAAAGCAAGCUAACGCUUGAAUACAUUAGCAUGGAAUAAUGAAAUAGGAGGAUCGAUCCUAUUUUGUUGGUUUCUAGGAUUGACGUA
Molecule: ribosomal RNA, 216 nt
Filed under: Glomeromycotina sp.
Lineage: Eukaryota; Fungi; Glomeromycota
Description: partial small subunit ribosomal RNA
Rfam family: Eukaryotic small subunit ribosomal RNA (bases 40-216)
Source: RNAcentral